AGCAGCCGCGGUAAUUCCAGCUCCAAUAGCGUAUAUUAAAGUUGUUGCAGUUAAAAAGCUCGUAGUUGAAUUUCGGGGUUAGCAGGUCGGUCGUGCCAUCGGUAUGAACUGGUCUCGCUGAUCCCUCCCUCUUGACGAACUGUGAUGCCAUUAAUUUGGUGUCGCAGGGAAUCAGGACUGUUACUUUGAAAAAAUUAGAGUGUUUAAAGCAGGCUCACGCUUGAAUACAUUAGCAUGGAAUAAUGAAAUAGGACGUUUGAUCCUAUUUUGUUGGCUUCUAGGAUUGACGUAAUGAUUAAUAGGGAUAGUUGGGGGCAUUAGUAUUCAAUUGUCAGAGGUGAAAUUCUUGGAUUUAUUGAAGACUAACUACUGCGAAAGCAUUUGCCAAGGAUGUUUUCAUUAAUCAAGAACGAAAGUUAGGGGAUCGAAGACGAUCAGAUACCGUCGUAGUCUUAACCAUAAACUAUGCCGACUAGGGGAGUCGGAUGAUUGUUAAUUUUUUCAAUGACUCAUUC
RNAcentral lists this unclassified non-coding RNA (515 nucleotides) under uncultured Glomus. RNAcentral describes it as "SSU rRNA". It matches the Rfam family "Eukaryotic small subunit ribosomal RNA", at positions 569 to 1081 of the family's 1831-position model. The record is from RNAcentral. Lineage: Eukaryota; Fungi; Glomeromycota; Glomeromycetes; Glomerales; Glomeraceae.